Molecule: ribosomal RNA, 444 nt
Filed under: uncultured Gammaproteobacteria bacterium
Lineage: Bacteria; Pseudomonadati; Pseudomonadota; Gammaproteobacteria
Description: bacterial SSU rRNA
Rfam family: Bacterial small subunit ribosomal RNA
Source: RNAcentral
CCGCACGAGCGCACCCUUGUCUUAUGUUGCCAGCACGUUAUGGUGGGGACUCAUGAGAGACUGCCGGGGUUAACUCGGAGGAAGGUGGGGACGACGUCAAGUCAUCAUGCCCCUUAUGUCCAGGGCUUCACACAUGCUACAAUGGCCGGUACAAUGCGCAGCGAGCCUGUGAGGGUGAGCUAAUCGCUUAAAGCUGGUCUUAGUUCGGAUUGGGGUCUGCAACUCGACCCCAUGAAGUCGGAGUCGCUAGUAAUCGUGGAUCAGAAUGCCACGGUGAAUACGUUCCCGGGCCUUGUACACACCGCCCGUCACACCAUGGGAGUGGGCUGCAAAAGAAGUGGAUAGCUUAACCUUCGGGAGGGCGUUCACCACUUUGUGGUUCAUGACUGGGGUGAAGUCGUAACAAGGUAGCCGUAGGGGAACCUGCGGCUGGAUCACCUCCUU